AGAUGAGAUGCAAAAUUGGGGGUUGAAGAUAGCAACAGACCUGGUUCAGGUCCAAGGACGAAUUCUUCCACCAGAAACCAUUUGUCAAGGAGAGAAAGUUAUCACAUUUGAUCAAAAGUCUUCAGAUUGGUCUCGGGAAACUAGGAGCUUGAAGUUACAUUCUGCCAUAACUUGAAAAAUUGGGCUAUGGUCUUCACAUCAAGAUCUAAUGAGGAUGCUAGAGAGCUAAGCACAACACUUCAGCGUGUUGGGCCACCUAUGGGCAUGUCAAUUGCGUCUCCAAGAAACAUUUGCCUUCGUGGUGAUAGCACUCCCAGAGUUUGUUGGAGUUUUGAAUGAUUUAUCAGGAUUCCAGCUAGUUCUCGUCAUUUUACCCAAUAAUAGGUUGGAUAGAUACAGUGCCAUCAAGAGGCAUUUGACUGUCAAGAUGGGUGUCCCAAGUCAAUGUGUUCUGAGUAGGACGCUCUUUAAAAAAGCAGCGAUUGAUGUCAGUGGCAACAAAAAUUGCCAUACAAAUGAACUGCAAACUAGGUGGUGAACCC
Macrobrachium nipponense is the source of this 542-nucleotide long non-coding RNA. RefSeq lists it as uncharacterized. The transcript is spliced from 4 exons. NCBI's taxonomy places the organism in Eukaryota, Metazoa, Arthropoda, Malacostraca, Decapoda, Palaemonidae. The record is from RefSeq and is a predicted model, not a curated record.